This 18-nucleotide transfer RNA is filed under the name Poecilobdella nanjingensis. RNAcentral's name for it is "partial tRNA-Val". The record is from RNAcentral. Lineage: Eukaryota; Metazoa; Annelida; Clitellata; Hirudinida; Hirudinidae.
CAAACUAUAGUAUAAAUA